GACGAACGCUGGCGGCGUGCUUAACACAUGCAAGUCGAGCGGAGCGGCGAACGGGUGAGUAACGCGUGAGUAACUGCCCCCCUCUCUGGGAUAACAGUUGGAAACGGCUGCUAAUACCGGAUAGUGGGGGAUGACUCGCGUCCUAUCAGCUUGUUGGUGGGGUAGUGGCCUACCAUGGCGACGACGGGUAGCCGGCCUGAGAGGGCGACCGGCCACAUGGGGCGAAGAUAGGGCACAAGCGCCUAGGGGGAGCAGCGGGGGGGAAUAUUGCACAAUGGGGGAAACCCUGAUGCGGCAACGCGGGGGCGGGAUGACUGCCUUCGGGGUGUAAACCGCUUUCAGCCAUGAAGCGGUAGUGGCAGAAGAAGCACCGGCUAACUACGUGCCAGCAGCCGCGGUAAUAC
RNAcentral lists this ribosomal RNA (404 nucleotides) under uncultured bacterium. RNAcentral's name for it is "partial 16S ribosomal RNA". It matches the Rfam family "Bacterial small subunit ribosomal RNA", at positions 28 to 526 of the family's 1533-position model. The record is from RNAcentral.